GACGAACGCUGGCGGCGUGCCUAACACAUGCAAGUCGAGCGAAUGAAGUUCCUUCGGGAAUGGAUUUAGCGGCGGACAGGUGAGUAACACGUGGGUAACCUGCCUCAUAGAGGGGAAUAGCCUCCCGAAAGGGAGAUUAAUACCGCAUAAGAUUGUAGUACCGCAUGAUACAGCAAUUAAACGAGCAAUCCGCUAUGAGAUGGGCCCGCGGCGCAUUAGCUAGUUGGUGAGGUAAUGGCUCACCAAGGCGACGAUGCGUAGCCGACCUGAGAGGGUGAUCGGCCACAUUGGGACUGAGACACGGCCCAGACUCCUACGGGAAGCAGCAGUGGGGAAUAUUGCACAAUGGGGGAAACCCUGAUGCAGCAACGCCGCGUGAGUGAUGACGGCCUUCGGGUUGUAAAGCUCUGUCUUCAGGGACGAUAAUGACGGUACCUGAGGAGGAAGCCACGGCUAACUACGUG
RNAcentral lists this ribosomal RNA (464 nucleotides) under uncultured bacterium. Its description in RNAcentral is "partial 16S ribosomal RNA". It matches the Rfam family "Bacterial small subunit ribosomal RNA", at positions 28 to 507 of the family's 1533-position model. The record is from RNAcentral.